CGCGAAAGUCCCGCAAGGGAUAAGUAGAGUGGCAUUCUCCUGAGUAAUGCAUAAGUAAUCUACCCUUGAGUGGGGGAUAACUCCGGGAAACCGGUGCUAAUCCCGCAUAACGUCCGGAUGCGUAAGCAUUCGGAUCAAAGGGGGGGAUCCUUCGGGACCUCUCGCUUGAGGAUGAGCCUAUGUCCUAUUAGCUAGUUGGUGAGGUAAUGGCCCACCAAGGCUUUGAUGGGUAGCCGAGCUGAGAGGCUGAUCGGCCACACUGGAACUGAAACACGGUCCAAACUCCUACGGGAGGCAGCAGUGGG
This 305-nucleotide small RNA is filed under the name uncultured bacterium. RNAcentral describes it as "bacterial SSU rRNA". It matches the Rfam family "Bacterial small subunit ribosomal RNA", at positions 67 to 358 of the family's 1533-position model. The record is from RNAcentral.